This 745-nucleotide small RNA is filed under the name Pan troglodytes (chimpanzee). RNAcentral describes it as "processed transcript". Lineage: Eukaryota; Metazoa; Chordata; Mammalia; Primates; Hominidae. The record is from RNAcentral.
GGGGCGGGGGCCGGGCCUCCCAGCGCGGUACGCGGUGCCUUUUGAGCAUCUUGUCCACGCUCCGCCCCGGUGGGAACGGCCGCGCGCUCCCCGCAGGUGGUCAUCCGCCGCCUGCCUCCGGGCCUCACCAAGGAGCAGCUGGAGGAGCAGCUGCGCCCGCUGCCAGCACACGACUACUUCGAGUUCUUCGCCGCCGACCUGAGUCUUUAUCCUCAUCUCUACUCAAGAGCAUACAUUAAUUUUAGGAAUCCUGAUGACAUCCUUCUUUUUAGAGAUCGUUUUGAUGGAUAUAUCUUCCUUGACAGCAAAGCUAGAAGAACCACACCUCUUUUGGAAUAUAUUAAAAAUAGAAAAUUAGAAAAGCAGAGAAUUCGAGAAGAGAAGCGAGAAGAACGGAGGAGGAGAGAGUUAGAAAAGAAACGUUUGCGGGAAGAGGAAAAAAGAAGAAGAAAAGAAGAAAGAUGCAGGAAAAAAGAGACAGAUAAACAGAAGAAAAUUGCAGAGAAAGAAGUGAGGAUUAAGCUUCUUAAGAAACCAGAAAAGGGAGAGGAACCAAUCACAGAGAAACCAAAGGAAAGAGGAGAGGAGAUUGAUACUGGAGGUGGCAAGCAGGAAUCCUGUGCCCCCGGUGCAGUCGUAAAAGCCAGGCCCGUGGAAGGCUCGCUGGAGGAGCCCCAGGAGACGUCACACAGCGGCAGUGAUAAAGAGCACAGGGAUGUGGAGAGAUCUCAAGAACAAGAAUCUG